UUAAUGUCACUUGUCAUUUUAUUAUGAUACGGUGAUUGGGGAACAAUAGUGAAAGUGUCUUGCAUAUCAAGUUGUGAGAAGUUAUGAUCUGAGAUGAUUUUUGGAUCAUUUGCUUUACUCUGCUCGACUAAACUAGUCAUAGUGUUUGGCUAUGCUGCAAACAUGAUAAUUUAAAAAUUGAAGCCAUUUGUUAGUUAAGUCUAUUCUUAGCUAGAUAGUAAAUUGGCCAUGUACUCAAUUGUUAGAAUUGACCAUGGAUGUUGGGUGUCUCAGAUUCCUCAAUUUGUAAAUGAGCAUUCAUGAACACUGUGGCACAUUUAAAUUGUGUGGUUGAUCCUGUAAAGGGGAUGGGCCAAAUUCAAAUGUGAUGGUUGGUCAUAACAACAUUAUUGUGAAUUUGGUUCCAUCCACAGCUGAUGCAGUAAGACCAUUCAGGUACCAUCUUGUCCAACACAUCUGUCAACUGCGAAGCCACUCAAUCUUACAUAGGUUCAGGUUGCAGAUGAUGCAAAACACAUUACCAUGGAGGCACCUUCCGUUGUCUGAGAAUUCCAUGGAUAUUUUAGGAAUAUCAUUCUGGAUUAUGAUAAUACCAUAGAACUCAUAACUUGAGGUUAUUAAUGUGUGUGCGUGCUGAUCAUUUGGCUGAUUAAUUGGCAGAUAUUGACCAUGUUCUCGAGUGUACUAAGUACCCCUGCAAUGGAGGGUGACUUCCUCACUUAUUUGUCUAUGAUUGUCUCUCUUAUUGGGAGGGUUGUGCUGCAGAUCCUGCCUGAUCUUGCUUGUCACCCUUAGAACCAAUAUCUGCAUGUGCAUACCUUAGGUUCUGAUCCCAUAUAUGCAUUCAAAUGCUUCACAUAACCAGAGAAGUGAAAGUGAGAAUAUUUAUAGGAGCGCCUCCAUCAGUGGAUACUUCUUUCCAUAUAAUUCUGAUCUGACCUGAUGUCUUAUAUCCUGUGUAUGAUGUCUAUGCACGUGAAAAUUGCUUAUGGGAACAUGAAUAAUGAAGCGCUUCCAUCAGUGGAUACCUCUUUCCAUAUAAUUCUGAUCUGACCUGAUGUCUUAUACCCUGUGUAUGAUGUCUAUGCACGUGAAAAUUGCUUAUGGGAACAUGAAUAAUGAAGUGACAUACAAAUCAGUGCAAGCCAUUCUUUUCUUUUCUUUUCUUUCUUUUUUCCCUGCUUGGUCAAAUCUAUAUUUCAUGCCAUUCUCCUAUCAGAUAAGGAUGCUCUAAUGUGAUGAAUUUAUUUGAAAAUAGCAUGCACUUGAAAUUGGCUUUUUUAAAUAAGGUUUAAAAGACCUUUUUGAGCUCCUUGGAUCUGUGCUGUUUAUGAUUCCCCUAGU
Molecule: long non-coding RNA, 1344 nt
Filed under: Vitis vinifera (wine grape)
Lineage: Eukaryota; Viridiplantae; Streptophyta; Magnoliopsida; Vitales; Vitaceae
Description: long non-coding RNA (VVIN_LNC004064)
Source: RNAcentral